AUUGAACGCUGGCGGCAGGCCUAACACAUGCAAGUCGAACGAGUGGCGGACGGGUGAGUAAUGUCUGGGAAACUGCCUGAUGGAGGGGGAUAACUACUGGAAAAGGUAGCUAAUACCGCAUACCCUCAGAUGUGCCCAGAUGGGAUUAGCUUGUUGGUGGGGUAACGGCUCACAAAGGCGCCGAUCCCUAGCUGGGCUGAGAGGAUGACCGGCCACAAUGGGACUGAGACACGGUCCAGACUCCUACGGGAGGCAGCAGUGGGUAAUAUUGCACAAUGGGCGAAAGCCUGAUGGAGCAAUGCCGCGUGUAUGAAGAAGGCCUUCGGGUUGUAAAGUACUUUCAGCGGGGAGGCGGUACCCGCAAAAGAAGCACCGGCUAACUCCGUGCCAGCAGCCGCGGUAAUUC
Molecule: ribosomal RNA, 406 nt
Filed under: uncultured bacterium
Lineage: Bacteria
Description: partial 16S ribosomal RNA
Rfam family: Bacterial small subunit ribosomal RNA
Source: RNAcentral